RNAcentral lists this non-coding RNA (26 nucleotides) under Homo sapiens (human). The record is from RNAcentral. Lineage: Eukaryota; Metazoa; Chordata; Mammalia; Primates; Hominidae.
UCCAAGCCAAGGACGAGGUCAUCAUC